UGUAGCACUACCAUGGCAUACAUUCAAAAUUGCUUGAAGUAUAUUUCAUUGAUUGUAUGGAUGAGUCUAACUUUAAGAUGCAGCAAAGUGUGGAAUGAGUCGACCCCAACAAAGGUGGAGUCGACCCUGGCACAUCAUGGAACCAUCAGGCACACCUCUGCGAAAAUGGCACGGAUGAACAGUAGUGGAGUUGACCCCAAGUAUGGUUGAGUCGACCCCAGCUUCAAGCCUCAAGAAAACAAGUCUCUGGCAUUUACUGAGAGGGCGGACCCCAACUUUCCUUGAGCCGACCCCAGGAAUACUUGAGUCGACCCCAAUGGAGUCGACCCCAACUGAACAUGAGUCGACCCCAAGGCUAUGUCGUUCAAAACUGUGUCUCUGGAAUCCCUAAGAGGGUCGACCCCAAUGGAACUUGAGUCGACCCCACUGUAGCUUGAGUCGACCCUAAAAAGAGUUGAGUCGACCCCAGUGAAAAACAACUGAAAUAUAAGAUUCUGUGAUCUCUGAGAGAGUCGACCCCACUAUAGCAGGAGUCGACCCCAGUGAAAGUUGGGUCGACCCCACUGGAAGUUGAGUCGACCCCAAGUCUGAUGAAUAGUGGUUUGAGUCGACCUCAGGAAAGUUUGGGUCGACCCCAGCACGGGCAGAAGCAUAACGGCUAGUUCUGCAGA
This 671-nucleotide long non-coding RNA is filed under the name Phoenix dactylifera (date palm). RNAcentral's name for it is "long non-coding RNA (PDAC_LNC019119)". The record is from RNAcentral. Lineage: Eukaryota; Viridiplantae; Streptophyta; Magnoliopsida; Arecales; Arecaceae.